RNAcentral lists this long non-coding RNA (371 nucleotides) under Equus caballus (horse). RNAcentral describes it as "lncRNA (ENSECAG00000060269.1)". The record is from RNAcentral. Lineage: Eukaryota; Metazoa; Chordata; Mammalia; Perissodactyla; Equidae.
CUCAGCUGUUUGAGUGUUCCUACUCCUGGUACCAGACUUCUGAGUGGGCGAGGCUUCAGAGGAUUCCAGCCCCCAGGCUUCAAGUCCGCCAGUUGAGGCCCUAGACGAGGUUCAUCAGAGACAAGUCACCUCCCCAUGGCCUGUGUCUAUUCCUGACCCAGGGAAUCCAUGAACAUAUCGCUCGUUCACUUAAUCCAUCUGGUUUGAAUAUCUUGGAGUUGGAAAGACUGGGAGAAGCUAGAACAGUUCAAGCUUCUUGAAAACACCCAAGUGUGAGGUGAUCUAAGGGUCUGUGUUCAGCCUGGAGACCCAGAAGUACCUACUUGGUUUCAAGGGUCAGUCGUGGAUCUUCUCACCUUGCUGGUGUUCCA